This 387-nucleotide ribosomal RNA is filed under the name uncultured bacterium. Its description in RNAcentral is "bacterial SSU rRNA". It matches the Rfam family "Bacterial small subunit ribosomal RNA", at positions 29 to 416 of the family's 1533-position model. The record is from RNAcentral.
AACGAACGCUGGCGGCAUGCCUUACACAUGCAAGUCGAACGGCAGCACGGGAGCAAUCCUGGUGGCGAGUGGCGAACGGGUGAGUAAUAUAUCGGAACGUGCCCGGUCGUGGGGGAUAACGUAGCGAAAGCUACGCUAAUACCGCAUACGAUCUACGGAUGAAAGCGGGGGAUCGCAAGACCUCGCGCGAUUGGAGCGGCCGAUAUCAGAUUAGGUAGUUGGUGAGGUAAAGGCUCACCAAGCCGACGAUCUGUAGCUGGUCUGAGAGGACGACCAGCCACACUGGGACUGAGACACGGCCCAGACUCCUACGGGAGGCAGCAGUGGGGGAAUUUUGGACAAUGGGCGCAAGCCUGAUCCAGCAAUGCCGCGUGCAGGAUGAAGGCC